This 467-nucleotide ribosomal RNA is filed under the name uncultured bacterium. RNAcentral's name for it is "bacterial SSU rRNA". It matches the Rfam family "Bacterial small subunit ribosomal RNA", at positions 9 to 490 of the family's 1533-position model. The record is from RNAcentral.
GAGUUUGAUCCUGGCUCAGGACGAACGCUGGCGGCGUGCUUAACACAUGCAAGUCGAGCGGUGACCCUCCUUCGGGGGGUGAUCAGCGGCGAACGGGUGAGUAACACGUGGGCAACCUGCCCCUCACACUGGGAUAACCUCGGGAAACCGGGGCUAAUACCGGAUACGACCUCGAGCGGCAUCUCUUGAGGUGGAAAGCUCCGACGGUGAGGGAUGGGCCCGCGGCCUAUCAGCUUGUUGGUGGGGUAAUGGCCUACCAAGGCGACGACGGGUAGCCGGCCUGAGAGGGCUACCGGCCACACUGGGACUGAGACACGGCCCAGACUCCUACGGGAGGCAGCAGUGGGGAAUAUUGCGCAAUGGGCGAAAGCCUGACGCAGCGACGCCGCGUGAGGGAUGAAGGCCUUCGGUUGUAACCGUACUUUCUAGCAGGACGAAGCGAAAGUAGACGGUACCUGCAGAAGAAG